AGCAGUCGCCACGGUAAUACGUAGGUGGCAAGCGUUGUCCGGAAUUAUUGGGCGUAAAGGGCUCGCAGGCGGUUUCUUAAGUCUGGUGUGAAAGCCCCCGGCUCAACCGGGGAGGGUCAUUGGAAUCUGGGAAACUUGAGUGCAGAAGAGGAGAGUGGAAUUCCACGUGUAGCGGUGAAAUGCGUAGAGAUGUGGAGGAACACCAGUGGCGAAGGCGACUCUCUGGUCUGUAACUGACGCUGGGGAGCGAAAGCGUGGGGAGCGAACAGGAUUAGAUACCCCAGUAGUCCCUGUCUCUUAUAC
This 303-nucleotide ribosomal RNA is filed under the name uncultured bacterium. RNAcentral describes it as "partial 16S ribosomal RNA". It matches the Rfam family "Bacterial small subunit ribosomal RNA", at positions 507 to 807 of the family's 1533-position model. The record is from RNAcentral.